UUCGGAUUGUAGUCUGCAACCCGACUACAUGAAGCUGGAAUCGCUAGUAAUCGCGGAUCAGAAUGCCGCGGUGAAUACGUUCCCGGGCCUUGUACACACCGCCCGUCACACCAUGGGAGUCGGAAAUGCCCGAAGCCGGUGACUCAACCUUUAAGGAGAGAGCCGUCGAAGGCAGGUCUGAUAACUGGGGUGAAGUCGUAACAAGGUAUC
RNAcentral lists this ribosomal RNA (210 nucleotides) under uncultured bacterium. RNAcentral's name for it is "partial 16S ribosomal RNA". It matches the Rfam family "Bacterial small subunit ribosomal RNA", at positions 1292 to 1500 of the family's 1533-position model. The record is from RNAcentral.